RNAcentral lists this ribosomal RNA (450 nucleotides) under uncultured bacterium. RNAcentral describes it as "bacterial SSU rRNA". It matches the Rfam family "Bacterial small subunit ribosomal RNA", at positions 29 to 524 of the family's 1533-position model. The record is from RNAcentral.
AGCGAACGCUGGCGGCAGGCCUAACACAUGCAAGUCGAACGAACCCUUCGGGGUUAGUGGCGGACGGGUGAGUAACACGUGGGAACGUACCUUUAGGUUCGGAACAACACAGGGGAAACUUGUGCUAAUGCCGAAUGUGCCCUUCGGGGAAAGAUUUAUCGCCUUUAGAGCGGCCCGCGUCUGAUUAGCUUGUUGGUGAGGUAAAGGCUCACCAAGGCUACGAUCAGUAGCUGGUCUGAGAGGAUGAUCAGCCACACUGGGACUGAGACACGGCCCAGACUCCUACGGGAGGCAGCAGUGGGGAAUCUUGCGCAAUGGGCGAAAGCCUGACGCAGCCAUGCCGCGUGAAUGAUGAAGGUCUUAGGAUUGUAAAAUUCUUUCACCGGGGAAGAUAAUGACGGUACCCGGAGAAGAAGCCCCGGCUAACUUCGUGCCAGCAGCCGCGGUAAU